Molecule: ribosomal RNA, 440 nt
Filed under: uncultured bacterium
Lineage: Bacteria
Description: partial 16S ribosomal RNA
Rfam family: Bacterial small subunit ribosomal RNA
Source: RNAcentral
CCUACGGGGGGCAGCAGUGGGGAAUAUUGCACAAUGGGGGGAACCCUGAUGCAGCGACGCCGCGUGGGUGAAGGAGUACUUCGGUACGUAAAGCCCUAUCAGCAGGAGAGAAAAUGACGGUACCUGACUAUGAAGCCCCGGCUAACUACGUGCCAGCAGCCGCGGUAAUACGUAGGGGGCAAGCGUUAUCCGGAUUUACUGGGCGUAAAGGGGGCGGAGACGGAAGUGAAAGUCCGGAGUGAAAGCCCGGGGAUCAACCCGGGGAAUGCUCUGGAAACUGUAAAGCUGGAGGGCGGGAGGGGCAGGCGGAAUUCCUGGUGUAGCGGUGAAAUGCGUAGAUAUCAGGAGGAACACCGGCGGCGAAGGCGGCCUGCUGGACCGUAACUGACGUUGAGGCUCAAAAGCGUGGGGAGCAAACAGGAUUAGAUACCCUAGUAGUC